AGAGCGAACGCUGGCGGCAGGCUUAACACAUGCAAGUCGAGCGGGCGUAGCAAUACGUCAGCGGCAGACGGGUGAGUAACGCGUGGGAACGUACCUUUUGGUUCGGAACAACCCAGGGAAACCUUGGGCUAAUACCGGAUAAGCCCUUACGGGGAAAGAUUUAAUCGCCGAAAGAUACGGCCCGCGUCUGAUUAGCUAGUUGGUGAGGUAAUGGCUCACCAAGGCGACGAUCAGUAGCUGGUCUGAGAGGAUGAUCAGCCACAUUGGGACUGAGACACGGCCCAAAACUCCUACGGGAGGCAGCAGUGGGGAAUAUUGGACAAUGGGCGGCAAAGCCUGAUCCAGCCAUGCCGCGUGAGUGAUGAAGGCCCUAGGGUUGUAAAGCUCGUUUUGUGCGGGAAGAUAAUGACGGUACCGCAAGAAUAAGCCCCGGCUAACUUCGCGCCAGCAGCCGC
RNAcentral lists this ribosomal RNA (455 nucleotides) under uncultured bacterium. RNAcentral describes it as "SSU rRNA". It matches the Rfam family "Bacterial small subunit ribosomal RNA", at positions 26 to 518 of the family's 1533-position model. The record is from RNAcentral.